Non-coding RNA from Pelodiscus sinensis (Chinese soft-shelled turtle), 620 nucleotides. NCBI's taxonomy places the organism in Eukaryota, Metazoa, Chordata, Testudines, Trionychidae. The record is from RefSeq and is a predicted model, not a curated record.
GGGGGAGCGAGGCAGCAGCCCCCCUGGCUUCCAGAGGUGCCAAGCCUCCUGCCUUCCAGGCGAAGAAGGAGGACAGCCCCGGCAGCCUGCGGAUCGUGGUUGGAUGGACACGGUGGCACCAGCGGGCUGGAACUGUCCCUGGGCAGGUGAUGACUCCACACUGCCAUGCUGCAAAUUCUCCUGUGCCUCGAUGACACCAUCAUGAUGCUCCUGUCCCAUCUGGACUCAGCACCCAGCCUUGAGCCUCUCACCCAAGGUGUAGCAUCAAUGGCCUUCCCACUGAACUUCCCUGUGGAAAGGUGAUUUUGGAGACUGGACACCAGUUCUGACUGGUGGGACUAUCUCAUAAUGGAGUAGUGGGACGACCAGCAUUGGCUCUGAAACUUCCGUAUGCAGAAGGCUGCAUUCCAGGAGCUGUGUGCCUGGCUUGCUCCUGCCCUACAAUGACAGGGCACUCACUUGCAGCCUGCCAUCCCCCUGGAGAAGCAGGUCACUAUUGCCCUGUGGAAGCUGGCAACCCCUGACAACUACUGCUUGGUGGGACACCAAUUUGGUGUGGGGAGGUCUACUGUGGGGGACUACUUGAUGGAGAGAUUAGGAUUAGGAAGCCUAACCCAAAC